AUUGACCAGGGAUCUUUUUAAAAUGCAGGUUCUGAUUCAGGAGAUCUGGAGUGGGGCCCAAGAUCCUGCAUUUCUAACAAGCUACCAAGUGAUGCUGA
RNAcentral lists this microRNA precursor (98 nucleotides) under Loxodonta africana (African savanna elephant). RNAcentral describes it as "mir-544 microRNA precursor family". It matches the Rfam family "mir-544 microRNA precursor family". Lineage: Eukaryota; Metazoa; Chordata; Mammalia; Proboscidea; Elephantidae. The record is from Rfam by way of RNAcentral.